This 433-nucleotide ribosomal RNA is filed under the name uncultured bacterium. RNAcentral describes it as "partial 16S ribosomal RNA". It matches the Rfam family "Bacterial small subunit ribosomal RNA", at positions 29 to 507 of the family's 1533-position model. The record is from RNAcentral.
AACGAACGCUGGCGGCAUGCCUAACACAUGCCAGUCGAACGAGACCUUCGGGUCUAGUGGCGCACGGGUGCGUAACGCGUGGGAACCUGCCCUUAGGUUCGGAAUAACUCCCCGAAAGGGGUGCUAAUACCGGAUAAUGUCUUCGGACCAAAGAUUUAUCGCCUUUGGAUGGGCCCGCGUUGGAUUAGCUAGUUGGUAGGGUAAAAGCCUACUAAGGCGACGAUUCAUAGCUGGUCUGAGAGGAUGAUCAGCCACACUGGGACUGAGACACGGCCUAGACUCCUACGGGAGGCAGCAGUGGGGAAUAUUGGACAGUGGGCGAAAGCCUGAUCCAGCAAUGCCGCGUGAGUGAUGAAGGCCUUAGGGUUGUAAAGCUCUUUUACCCGGGAUGAUAAUGACAGUACCGAGAGAAUAAGCUCCGGCUAACUCCGUG